CACACCGCCCGUCACACCACGAAAGUGGUCAUAACCAUAAGCAGGUGAGCCAACCGCAAGGAGGCAGCCUACCAAGGUUCUGGCCGUGAUUGGGGUG
Molecule: ribosomal RNA, 97 nt
Filed under: uncultured bacterium
Lineage: Bacteria
Description: partial 16S ribosomal RNA
Rfam family: Bacterial small subunit ribosomal RNA
Source: RNAcentral